GAUGAACGCUGGCAGCGUGCUUAACACAUGCAAGUCGAACGAUGAAGCCCAGCUUGCUGGGUGGAUUAGUGGCGAACGGGUGAGUAACACGUGAGUAACCUGCCCUUGACUCUGGGAUAAGCCUGGGAAACUGGGUCUAAUACUGGAUAUGACUUCUCAUCGCAUGGUGGGGGGUGGAAAGAUUUAUUGGUCUUGGAUGGACUCGCGGCCUAUCAGCUUGUUGGUGAGGUAAUGGCUCACCAAGGCGACGACGGGUAGCCGGCCUGAGAGGGUGACCGGCCACACUGGGACUGAGACACGGCCCAGACUCCUACGGGAGGCAGCAGUGGGGAAUAUUGCACAAUGGGCGCAAGCCUGAUGCAGCGACGCCGCGUGAGGGAUGACGGCCUUCGGGUUGUAAACCUCUUUCAGUAGGGAAGAAGCGAGAGUGACGGUACCUGCAGAAGAAGCGCCGGCUAACUACGUG
This 466-nucleotide ribosomal RNA is filed under the name uncultured bacterium. RNAcentral's name for it is "partial 16S ribosomal RNA". It matches the Rfam family "Bacterial small subunit ribosomal RNA", at positions 28 to 507 of the family's 1533-position model. The record is from RNAcentral.